GAUGAAGAACGCAGCGAAAUGCGAUAAGUAAUGUGAAUUGCAGAAUUCCGUGAAUCAUCGAAUCUUUGAACGCAUAUUGCGCCCCCUGGUAUUCCGGGGGGCAUGCCUGUCCGAGCGUCAUUGCUGCCCUCAAGCACGGCUUGUGUGUUGGGCCUCCGUCCUCCUCCCGGGGGACGGGCCCGAAAGGCAGCGGCGGCACCGCGUCCGGUCCUCGAGCGUAUGGGGCUUCGUCACCCGCUCUUGUAGGCCCGGCCGGCGCUUGCCGACACAUCAAUCUUUUUUCCAGGUUGACCUCGGAUCAGGUAGGGAUACCCGCUGAACUUAAGCAUAUCAAUAAGCGGAGGA
This 345-nucleotide unclassified non-coding RNA is filed under the name soil metagenome. RNAcentral's name for it is "partial contains 5.8S ribosomal RNA, internal transcribed spacer 2, and large subunit ribosomal RNA". The stretch from base 1 to 120 matches the Rfam family "5.8S ribosomal RNA", at positions 35 to 154 of the family's 154-position model. The record is from RNAcentral.